UAGUUCCCUCGACUUUUUGAGCUUUCAAUGCCUCUUCUCUUUCUCAUAAAAGCCUUUGCCAUGGAUUGAGGUUCUCUUCUAAAACGGUCAACACCUUUUACCACUCCUCUUCAAAUCAACUUCGAAAUCUUCUACUUACAAAUAGUAGGGUUUAUUUAUCUACAUGUAACAUCUUCCCAGAUACAAUAAUAAAGAAAAAUCUUGAACAGCAAGUCUUUCAGUGCUUUCAAUACUUUCUGCGUCUCUUUACUUGGCCUGGUGCUAGUGGAAGGCGAACGAACGGAGGGUUCAUCGUCUUUUGUUUCUAUAUCAUUUAGAGAUCGAUCUAUAUCAUUUGAAAACAAUGUAGACAAAGUGGAACAAGAUAUUGGUAGCAGUUCUUCAGCAAUUCCAUUAUGGGACGGCAUAGUACUUGGUGCAUGAAUACUUAAUGUCACUGGAAAACUUCUGAGUUGCCAUUCGAUUUGUGCAUUUGCUGAAGGAUGCAUAACUGAACGGUCUAGCACACAUUGCAAACUAGCAAGGGUUGACAACUACAGUACAUUCAAUAGUAAUGUACAAAGGGGAAGGAAUGAAAGUAAUCUCUUGUACAAUUUUGUCCCUACACUAUUCUUGGAGAAGCAAUGUUGCCUUUAAAAUACUUAUCAUAGUAAUGUUGCCUUAAAUUAAUUAAA
Molecule: long non-coding RNA, 674 nt
Organism: Prosopis cineraria
Lineage: Eukaryota; Viridiplantae; Streptophyta; Magnoliopsida; Fabales; Fabaceae
Exons: 2
Source: RefSeq, a predicted model, not a curated record